CCUUUUCUACAGGAGAUGGAUGUCAUCACAAGUCCAACAUACUGCUUUCAGAUGUACUGGUUUUAGACAACAUUUUAAGAAGGCUGGAAAACAAAACACCCAAAUUAACAAGCGUGAUUAAAACAACAACAACUCCAUGCAUUAAAAAAGUUUGAAGACUAACUUACAGAUGAAAAUGAAGAAGAUGGGAUUCUUUUAGCAUCCUGUUGGAAAAACAACAGCACUGAACAACAUUUCAGACUAGGAGAAUGGAUGAGAACAUGAAAGAAUAGCACUU
Molecule: long non-coding RNA, 277 nt
Organism: Podarcis muralis (Common wall lizard)
Lineage: Eukaryota; Metazoa; Chordata; Lepidosauria; Squamata; Lacertidae
Source: RefSeq, a predicted model, not a curated record